CGAUAGGCAAAUCCGUCGGAAUAAUGCUGGGGUACGAUGCGGAGCGAAAUUUAGUAGCGAAGUAGCUGAUUUCACACUGUCGAGAAAAGUCUCUAUCGAGGUUAAAGGUGCCUGUACCGCAAACCGACACAGGUGGGUGAGGAGAGUAUCCUAAGGCCAGCGAGAGAACUGUUGUUAAGGAACUCGGCAAAAUGACCCCGUAACUUCGGGAGAAGGGGUGCCUUCGAGAGAAGGCCGCAGAGAAUAGGCCCAAGCGACUGUUUACCAAAAACAUAGGUUUCUGCUAAGUCGCAAGACGAUGUAUAGGAGCUGACGCCUGCCCGGUGCUGGAAGGUUAAGGGGAUCUGUUAGAGCAAUCGAAGCAGUGAACUUAAGCCCCAGUAAACGGCGGCCGUAACCAUAACGGUCCUAAGGUAGCGAAAUUCCUUGUCGGGUAAGUUCCGACCCGCACGAAAGGCGUAACGAUUUGGGCACUGUCUCAACAACAGACUCGGUGAAAUUGUAAUACCGGUGAAGAUGCCGGUUACCUGCGACAGGACGGAAAGACCCCAUGGAGCUUUACUGUAGCUUGACAUUGAGUCUCGGUGCUACAUGUACAGGAUAGGUGGGAGACUAUGAAGCAUGGACGUCAGUCUGUGUGGAGUCAUCCUUGGGAUACCACCCUUGUAGUACUGGGAUUCUAACCAGAGGCCAUGAAUCUGGUCUUGGGACACUGUCAGGUGGACAGUUUGACUGGGGCGGUCGCCUCCCAAAAAGUAACGGAGGCGCUCAAAGGUUCUCUCAGUACGGUCGGAAAUCGUACGAAGAGUGUAAAGGCAAAAGAGAGCUUGAUUGCAAGACAUACAGGUCGAGCAAGGACGAAAGUCGGACUUAGUGAUCCGGUGGUUCCGCAUGGAAGGGCCAUCGCUCAACGGAUAAAAGCUACCCUGGGGAUAACAGGCUGAUCUCCCCCAAGAGUCCACAUCGACGGGGAGGUUUGGCACCUCGAUGUCGGCUCAUCACAUCCUGGGGCUGUAGUAGGUCCCAAGGGUUGGGCUGUUCGCCCAUUAAAGUGGUACGCGAGCUGGGUUCAGAACGUCGUGAGACAGUUCGGUCCCUAUCCGUCGCAGGCGUAGGAAAUUUGAGGAGACCUGUCCUUAGUACGAGAGGACCGGGAUGGACGUACCGCUGGUGUACCAGUUGUUCUGCCAAGGGCAUGGCUGGGUAGCUAAGUACGGAAAGGAUAAGCGCUGAAAGCAUCUAAGCGCGAAGCCCACUUCAAGAUAAGAUUUCCCACCGCAAGGUUAAGAUCCCAGGAAGACUACCUGGUUGAUAGGUCAGAGGUGUAAGUGCAGUAAUGUAUUUAGCUUACUGAUACUAAUAGAUCGAGGACUUGAUC
RNAcentral lists this ribosomal RNA (1378 nucleotides) under metagenome. RNAcentral's name for it is "bacterial LSU rRNA". It matches the Rfam family "Bacterial large subunit ribosomal RNA", at positions 1530 to 2925 of the family's 2925-position model. The record is from RNAcentral.